CCCCUGAAGUUAUAGUGGAGCAGAUUGAAGCCAGAGAUCUUAUCUCCCCGAGAUUACAGCGGAGCAGAUCGAAGACACUAUCCUAUCUCCCUGAAGUUACAGUGGAGUGGGUUAAAAUAAAGGAUCUUAUCUCUCUGAGGUUACAGCAGAGUAGGUCGCAUCAAGUCUUAUUUCCCUGAAGAUGCAGUGGAAUAGAUUGAAAACCACAAACCUCGUCCCCC
This 221-nucleotide long non-coding RNA is filed under the name Gossypium barbadense (sea-island cotton). Its description in RNAcentral is "long non-coding RNA (GBAR_LNC023379)". The record is from RNAcentral. Lineage: Eukaryota; Viridiplantae; Streptophyta; Magnoliopsida; Malvales; Malvaceae.